Molecule: signal recognition particle RNA, 99 nt
Filed under: Bacteroidota bacterium
Lineage: Bacteria; Pseudomonadati; Bacteroidota
Description: Bacteroidetes bacterium (activated sludge metagenome) signal recognition particle sRNA small type
Rfam family: Bacteroidales small SRP
About the family: The non-coding component of the signal recognition particle in Bacteroides
Source: RNAcentral
GGGUAAGCGCUGUACGACCAGCUCCUGCCUACAACCCCAGGAUUGGAAGAUAGCAAGGUUGAGGUGGUUGAGCGGUGCGAUGCAGUUAGCUUACCUUUU